GCAGGGGCUAACUAUGCAGGGGCUAACUAUGCAGGGGCUAACUAUGCAGGGGCUAACUAUACAGGGGAUAACUAUGCAGGAUGCUAACUAUGCAGGUUCUAACUAUGCAGGUUCUAACUAUACAGGUGCUAACUAUGCAGGAUGCUAACUAUGCAGGUUCUAACUAUACAGGUGCUAACUAUGCAGGAUGCUAACUAUGCAGGUUCUAACUAUACAGGGGCUAACUAUGUAGGAUGCUAACUAUGUAGGUGCUAACUAUACAGGGGCUAACUAUGCAGGAUGCUAACUAUGCAGGUUCUAACUAUACAGGGGCUAACUAUGCAGG
Long non-coding RNA from Oncorhynchus tshawytscha (Chinook salmon), 325 nucleotides. NCBI's taxonomy places the organism in Eukaryota, Metazoa, Chordata, Actinopteri, Salmoniformes, Salmonidae. The record is from Ensembl.